This 188-nucleotide ribosomal RNA is filed under the name Laceyella tengchongensis. RNAcentral describes it as "16S rRNA. Bacterial SSU". It matches the Rfam family "Bacterial small subunit ribosomal RNA", at positions 1349 to 1533 of the family's 1533-position model. The record is from RNAcentral. Lineage: Bacteria; Bacillati; Bacillota; Bacilli; Caryophanales; Thermoactinomycetaceae.
UCAGCAUGUCGCGGUGAAUACGUUCCCGGGCCUUGUACACACCGCCCGUCACACCACGAGAGUUUGCAACACCCGAAGUCGGUGAGGUAACCUUUACGGAACCAGCCGCCGAAGGUGGGGCAGAUGAUUGGGGUGAAGUCGUAACAAGGUAUCCCUACCGGAAGGUGGGGAUGGAUCACCUCCUUUCU